GUUCCAAACAGCUUCACUAUUAUCUGUCUUCUGUAUCCCUCAAGCUUUCCCCAGUGAACACAGCACCCUGGGAAAUGCAAAGAGGGAAGACAGAGAGGAGCAUGGGGUGGGA
MicroRNA precursor from Rattus norvegicus (Norway rat), 112 nucleotides. Lineage: Eukaryota; Metazoa; Chordata; Mammalia; Rodentia; Muridae. The record is from Ensembl.